UCCCUGACGGUCCAGUUGUUAGGACUCCAUGCUCUUACUGCCAAGGACCCAGGUUCAAUCCCUGGUCAGGGAA
Molecule: non-coding RNA, 73 nt
Organism: Bos taurus (domestic cattle)
Lineage: Eukaryota; Metazoa; Chordata; Mammalia; Artiodactyla; Bovidae
Source: Rfam